AUUCUGUUGAGAAUCUAAAAAAAUUAGAACAUUCAAUGGGGCUUAUAUUUCAACAACUUAAAAAUUUAGAAAACUCAAUUGGUAAGGAAAGUACACUUAUGUUUCUUUUUGUUUAAUUUUAACACACAUUUUUUGAUGUUUGUGUGCGGUUUUAUCACUGUAAAAUAAACUGCUUAAUUGAUUAGUAUAUGUUAGUUUAUGUAAAUAUAUUUUUUACCUCCACUAUAGCGUCAUCUGCAGUACCAUCAGCAACGCUGAUAAAACUGAAUUUUUUUAAAAAAAGAGUAUUUCCAGCUUUCCAACCAAAUAUUAGAGACUUUUACAAAAGCACCCUCACAAAAUAAUGCUUUUAUAAUCAAUUUAAAAGUCUUUCAAAUCGUUAAUCAUUUUCUAAAGGCGAAG
Molecule: non-coding RNA, 402 nt
Organism: Hydra vulgaris (swiftwater hydra)
Lineage: Eukaryota; Metazoa; Cnidaria; Hydrozoa; Anthoathecata; Hydridae
Source: RefSeq, a predicted model, not a curated record